Zingiber officinale is the source of this 739-nucleotide long non-coding RNA. RefSeq lists it as uncharacterized. The transcript is spliced from 3 exons. NCBI's taxonomy places the organism in Eukaryota, Viridiplantae, Streptophyta, Magnoliopsida, Zingiberales, Zingiberaceae. The record is from RefSeq and is a predicted model, not a curated record.
UUUUCUUUUCCGUUUUUCUUUUUAUUUAUUUCCUUCCCUCGAGCCGAAACCGUGCCCGACUUCUCCUUCUUCCCCCGCGUGCCCGACGCCCUCCUCCGAGCCCUAAUCGCCGAGCGGUUUCUUCCUCUUCCUCUUCCUCCAUUUCCUUCCCGAGCCGCCGCCACAGCCGACACCGCGCGAAGCAGUGCCGACCCCGCGCCGACGCCGCCCUUUCCCGCGUACAAGCCCUCGGCCAAGGAAACCCUAGCGCCGACAAUCAUCUUCCCUCUGCCCUAAUUUUCCUUUGCGUGCCACUACCGAGGGUGAGGUUGCUACUCCCUUCUGUUCUCAGUUUCUCACCGCCAUGUCUCUACUCGGAUUGGUUUUGGACCAGAGCAAGGAGCACGGAGCCGAGGCCCUCUUUCCCCCUGCCUUAUUGUUGACUGCCAUUUUCCUUUGUGCCCUAGCAUCGUCGAUUUUUCCUCCGACCUUCCAGGCCGAAGAUGCCGCGAGCCUAGCACCAAUUUAUCUCUCUGUUUAUCGACAAGAACACACGGGUCCUGGCUUUGGGCAGCGCCACAGUACCAGUUUUCGGAUAUCGAAUUCUUCUUUCUCUCAUUGAUCUGGAUUGGAGAUUAGGGAUUUCAAUCUGCUGCGGCUGAUCUUGGUUCAGCUGAGGGUUUUAAGGAGGAAGCUGUUAAGGACUUUGACGCGAGACGAGCAUCUUGAUGUCGAGUUUGGACCGGAUACGAUUCUUUCC